RNAcentral lists this ribosomal RNA (1021 nucleotides) under Escherichia coli. RNAcentral describes it as "partial 23S ribosomal RNA". It matches the Rfam family "Bacterial large subunit ribosomal RNA", at positions 724 to 1744 of the family's 2925-position model. The record is from RNAcentral. Lineage: Bacteria; Pseudomonadati; Pseudomonadota; Gammaproteobacteria; Enterobacterales; Enterobacteriaceae.
GGUGAUCUAGCCAUGGGCAGGUUGAAGGUUGGGUAACACUAACUGGAGGACCGAACCGACUAAUGUUGAAAAAUUAGCGGAUGACUUGUGGCUGGGGGUGAAAGGCCAAUCAAACCGGGAGAUAGCUGGUUCUCCCCGAAAGCUAUUUAGGUAGCGCCUCGUGAAUUCAUCUCCGGGGGUAGAGCACUGUUUCGGCAAGGGGGUCAUCCCGACUUACCAACCCGAUGCAAACUGCGAAUACCGGAGAAUGUUAUCACGGGAGACACACGGCGGGUGCUAACGUCCGUCGUGAAGAGGGAAACAACCCAGACCGCCAGCUAAGGUCCCAAAGUCAUGGUUAAGUGGGAAACGAUGUGGGAAGGCCCAGACAGCCAGGAUGUUGGCUUAGAAGCAGCCAUCAUUUAAAGAAAGCGUAAUAGCUCACUGGUCGAGUCGGCCUGCGCGGAAGAUGUAACGGGGCUAAACCAUGCACCGAAGCUGCGGCAGCGACGCUUAUGCGUUGUUGGGUAGGGGAGCGUUCUGUAAGCCUGCGAAGGUGUGCUGUGAGGCAUGCUGGAGGUAUCAGAAGUGCGAAUGCUGACAUAAGUAACGAUAAAGCGGGUGAAAAGCCCGCUCGCCGGAAGACCAAGGGUUCCUGUCCAACGUUAAUCGGGGCAGGGUGAGUCGACCCCUAAGGCGAGGCCGAAAGGCGUAGUCGAUGGGAAACAGGUUAAUAUUCCUGUACUUGGUGUUACUGCGAAGGGGGGACGGAGAAGGCUAUGUUGGCCGGGCGACGGUUGUCCCGGUUUAAGCGUGUAGGCUGGUUUUCCAGGCAAAUCCGGAAAAUCAAGGCUGAGGCGUGAUGACGAGGCACUACGGUGCUGAAGCAACAAAUGCCCUGCUUCCAGGAAAAGCCUCUAAGCAUCAGGUAACAUCAAAUCGUACCCCAAACCGACACAGGUGGUCAGGUAGAGAAUACCAAGGCGCUUGAGAGAACUCGGGUGAAGGAACUAGGCAAAAUGGUGCCGUAACUUCGGGAGAA